This is a long non-coding RNA of Hippocampus comes (tiger tail seahorse), 391 nucleotides long. RefSeq lists it as uncharacterized. The transcript has 3 exons. NCBI's taxonomy places the organism in Eukaryota, Metazoa, Chordata, Actinopteri, Syngnathiformes, Syngnathidae. The record is from RefSeq and is a predicted model, not a curated record.
CUCUGUGAACCAGGAAGUAGGUUGUUAGCCAACAAACAAUUGAAAUAUUCGACGCCAUGAUUAUUUUUGGGAGAAAUUUCAUUUCUCCUUGAGUCAAAAUGGAAGUGUCCACCUCAGGAUUCCAAAUGCUGAGGAUCUUGAUGAAGGCCCUGCGGAACUCCACGUUGAAGGUGGUGUAUAUGAUGGGGUUGAGGGCGCUGUUGACGUAGCCUAGCCAGGUGAAGGCGCUAUAGAGGCCCGGUGGGACCGCGCAUGUCCUGCAGUGCGUGUUCAAGAUGUGCGUGACAAAGAAUGGCAGCCAGCAAAUGAGGAACACCCCUGAAAAGGUGACAGGUCGUGGUUGGUCUUGGCCGCGUCGUCCCGUAGACACGUCUCCUGUUGGAUCAGAAAG